UAUAGCCUACGGGACGCAGCAGUGGGGAAUAUUGCACAAUGGGGGAAACCCUGAUGCAGCGACGCCGCGUGAGUGAAGAAGUAUCUCGGUACGUAAAGCUCUAUCAGCAGGGAAGAAAAAAAGUCUUUGGCUUUGGACGGUACCUGACUAAGAAGCCCCGGCUAACUACGUGCCAGCAGCCGCGGUAAUACGUAGGGGGCAAGCGUUAUCCGGAUUUACUGGGUGUAAAGGGAGCGUAGACGGCAGCGCAAGUCUGGAGUGAAAGGCGGGGGCUCAACCCCCGGACUGCUCUGGAAACUGUACGG
RNAcentral lists this ribosomal RNA (305 nucleotides) under uncultured bacterium. RNAcentral's name for it is "partial 16S ribosomal RNA". It matches the Rfam family "Bacterial small subunit ribosomal RNA", at positions 332 to 640 of the family's 1533-position model. The record is from RNAcentral.